Molecule: ribosomal RNA, 585 nt
Filed under: uncultured fungus
Lineage: Eukaryota; Fungi
Description: eukaryotic LSU rRNA
Rfam family: 5.8S ribosomal RNA (bases 140-293)
Source: RNAcentral
GGAUCGGCUUCAACCCCGAUCUGACAUUCACAACCAUAACACCUGUGCACCGUUGGAUGACCUCUGCUCUCACGAGCUCUGGGACUCCUCUUUACACCAAACCAUUUGUAACAAAUGUAGUCUUAUUAUAACAUAAUAAAACUUUCAACAACGGAUCUCUUGGUUCUCGCAUCGAUGAAGAACGCAGCGAAAUGCGAUAAGUAAUGUGAAUUGCAGAAUUCAGUGAAUCAUCGAAUCUUUGAACGCAAAUUGCACUCCUUGGUAUUCCGAGGAGUAUGCCUGUUUGAGUGUCAUGAAAACCUCAACUCCCUGUUUGGUUGAUCCAAAUAGGGAUGUUGGACUUGGGUGUUUGUCGAUGAUGAGUCGACUCGCCUUAAAAACAUAAGCUGGACUAGUCUUUGUCUUGGUUUCCUCAGGCGUGAUAAGUAUUUCGCUUGGGACAUGGGUUCGCCCAUGGCCAGGACUUUGGCAGCGGUCUGCUUUCUAUACCCUAUGUGCACACCUGUGUGUAUAUAAUUCUUGACAUCUGGCCUCAAAUCAGGUAGGACUACCCGCUGAACUUAAGCAUAUCAAUAAGCGGAGGAA